RNAcentral lists this small RNA (86 nucleotides) under Arabidopsis thaliana (thale cress). RNAcentral's name for it is "ATSL235890". Lineage: Eukaryota; Viridiplantae; Streptophyta; Magnoliopsida; Brassicales; Brassicaceae. The record is from RNAcentral.
UAAAUUUUGUGUAAACUAAUUGGAUACAUCAUCCAAACCCCUAAGAGGUGUUCUAGGUUCAAUAUAGUUUACGCAUUAUUAAAAUU